GCUUGUUCUCAGGGCAGGGUGGAAAUCCCGACCGGCGGUAUCCCCUCUUGAUGGAGGGGGAGCCCGCGAGCGCCCGGGGGUGGUAACGCCCGCGGGGUCAGCAGACCCGGUGAAACGCCGGGGCCGACGGUUACAGUCCGGAUGAAAGAGGAUGAGC
RNAcentral lists this non-coding RNA (157 nucleotides) under Nitrospirillum amazonense. RNAcentral describes it as "FMN sequence". It matches the Rfam family "FMN riboswitch aptamer (RFN element)". From Rfam's summary of the family: The RFN element is a highly conserved domain that is found frequently in the 5'-untranslated regions of prokaryotic mRNAs that encode for flavin mononucleotide (FMN) biosynthesis and transport proteins. This element is a metabolite-dependent riboswitch that directly binds FMN in the absence of proteins. Lineage: Bacteria; Pseudomonadati; Pseudomonadota; Alphaproteobacteria; Rhodospirillales; Azospirillaceae. RNAcentral also lists the same sequence under 1 other name. The record is from RNAcentral.